CGCGACGCACGCUCAUGAGUUGCAAGUCAUGCUCGCUGCCGGAGCCAAACGCGAACGCGAAGGCGGCCACGGAACUUAUACGACGGAGCCGCGAAGAUUCCGUCCACGGGUUAUAAUAUCGGUAAAACGACGGCGACAGCGCUAACGCCAUUCCGUGUCCAAGAACACAGUGGAAGCAUGUGGAAGCUUCUAGAACAUUCCGAGUUCGUCUACUGUAGGCUGCGACAUUUUUUUUUUAUUCCUUUGUUUUUACCAUCCCCACUCGCGCCGAUCGCGGUGAUAACAGCGGCGCGCCGGCUAGCGAGCCGGUGACGUAGUUCGACAUUAGACCAAUGAGAGAAGAAAAGAAAUUGCCCGGGCAUAUCAACGCAUGCGCCGAAGAGCUUGGCAUCUAUGGGCAUAUAUCGAGCAUCGGGGGCUCGGGCCGCCAUUUUACAUUUUCUGUCCACUUCGACGUGCCUCGUCUCGGCAGCCUUCUGCGUCGCACCAUGCCUCGAGCUCCUGCUGGUCCUAGUUACGCGCUAACGGUGGCAGCGCUUGUCGAAGUUUCACGCUGCGCACGUUCCCGCCUUCGGCCGACUCUGGAAGCACUGGCUUCAUGCUCCGGCGCCUGAAAAACGUGAGGCACGCCUCGAGAGACUUGUAGCCCGACCCGCCCACCGUCUCGGCAAUUCCUGGCCCCGCUUUCGAGCUCCCGGAGUGUAAGUGACCGCCAACCGGCAUAACUACGUUACUAUACGCCGACGACACUCCGGUCGAGCCGGCGCAGCGUAUAUAAGUCGCAAGUCGUUCCUGCCGAGUACUCCUUCUUUUGUUUGUGCGCGUUCCCACCCCCCGACGGCGCCUGGACUAUUGAACUGUGGAUGAACUCUGAGCGUGGCCACUAACCCCAGGACCUGCGCGGCAACCCCUCGUCACGGCGAGCGUCGUCUCUACGAGCUUCGCAUCGAGCGUCCUAAACGCUCAAAAGGCCUGUGUGUGCACUUAGUGCAUUUUUUUCUAGAUGGUCUAGCUGGCGAGGGUGGCGCAUGCCUUAGGGAAGUUAACUGUUCAGUUGCACUAGCUAGCGCUCACUAGGGUUGUAUAGCUGCACUACAAGAUUCCGUAAAGUUAGUGUUGUUGCUUAGCUGUAAGCCCGAGGUUUCGUGGGCAUGGCUUGCGGCCACACGGGUCUUCUCCGUGCCGGAAUCGAAGAGGACGGGCCACGUGUUGCGGGGUGGCAGUGUAUAGCUUCAGGUUUUAGCUGGCACAGAGGGUUAGCUAACACUACGCAGGCAACAGCUGAUAGCCGUCCUCUUACGACUGCGUCAGGGACAUGGACCCAUCCGAACGGCCUUGCGACCCGACCCCACUAUUUCGUGACGUAGGUAGCCCGCGCGCGUGAGUGCGCGUGCUAUCGAGCGAAAUGUGGAAUGACGGAAGCAAACGGCCUUCGGACACAACCUCGCCAGCUAUUAGGCAUUAACCCGUUCUACGCAGCACCUCGACGCCGGACGUCGCCUGCUGUUUCCGUCGGAGCUGGGCCGGGCAGCAGCUACAAGCGUCACUCGUACCGCGCCCGGUCUACCGUGUUCCCUCGUCGGAGUGGCCUUGUGGCUCUGCACCGGGAUCCCGAGGUCCGCUUUCGAGAUUGCGGACCACGAGUCGGAAGGAUAUCCAGUGUGCUUCUCACGUUCGCCAUCCUCCCAACGUCCCCCACCGGAGAGGGCCUUGAGCACCUCUUACCGUGGCUGACCGCGUUGGCUCCUUUGCAUUUCCACGUCCAUGGCAUCCUUCUGCUACGGGGGACUUCGUUUGUUACUACUGCCCACGUGUAAGAUGGAUAUCCAGUGCGCUGCUCCACGUUUGCCAUCCUCCCAACGUCCCCCUCAGGAGAUGGCCUAGAGCGCCGCUCGUACCGGGACCGACCGUUCCCCUUCGCCGGUGCGGUCUCGCUGGCAGACGAGAUUGCUCGUCGCCCUGCGUUGCUACGGGAUCCCGACGUCUGCGUUCGAUUAAGGCCCAUGAUAUGUUAACCAGUGGGCUGCUCCCCGUUUGCCAUCCUCCCAACGCCCCUUUCGAGAGAUAGCCUAGUGAACCACUCGUACUCUGGCCAACCGUGUUUAAUUACCAUCCCUCACCCAUGGCGUCCUGUUGGCAGUCCGAACCUUGCUCCUCGCACGCCACUACUGAAGACAGUUUUGGAUGGCGGUGAGCGAGGAGGACGCCCGAGGCAGUUUUGCCAAAAGAUGCUUCUGAGCAACAAUCCAUCCACGGCUGUGGUCGUUUGGACAUCCAAGUCUGAGUGUGGCCACUAACCCCAGGACCUGCGCAGCAACCCCUUGUCACGGCGAGCGUCGUCUCUGCGAGCUUCGCAUCGAGCGUCCGAAACGCUCAUCAGGUGGUCUUUGUGCAUAUUCCAGAUGGUCUAGCUGGCGAGGGUGGCGCACGCCUUAAGGAAGUUAAAUGUUUGUUCAGUUGCACUAGCUAGCGGUCACUACGAUCGUAUAGCUACAUUAAAGAAUUGCUUAGCUGUAAGCCCGAGGUUUCGUGGGCAUGGCUUGCGGCCACACGGGUCUUCUCCGUGCCGGAAUCGAAGAGGACGGGCCACGUGUUGCGGGGUGGCGGCGUAUAGCUUCAGGUUUUAGCUGGCACUGCGCAGGCUACAGCUGAUAGCCGUCCUCUACGAGUGCGUCAGGGACAUGGACCCUUCCGAAUGGCCUUGCGACCCGACCCCACUAUUUCGUGACAAGGUAGCCCGGGCGCGUCAGUGCUAUCGAGCGAAAUGUGGAAUCACGGAAGCAAACGCCGUUCUGAAAUUGCCUCGCCAGCUUUUAGCUAUUGCGGCGACCUUACGUCGCCCACGGUCUGGAGCUACGGUGAGUGGUCCACUUCUUUGCGGUUCCAGCUGUUCUUCUACGGUUGUUUACUUUGCUCCUUGCGUCGCAGAUGAUGACCUUGAUAACCAAUCGUGCCGUCACCAACCGUCUUAACGCUUUUGCAUUCCCUCGGCGGGGAAGUGUUGCUGGUGGACUGGACUUCGUUCCUCGCCCGGCACUACUCCUGGUUCCUACUGUCUGCUUCUGAAGUGCGCCAACUGUAGGGGCCCUCACACAGCCUCGUCGAAAGACUGUCCCCGCAUCAAGAGGGAGCGCGCGGUUCUGAAGCAAAUGGCCAGAGACAAUACGGCCCGAGGCAGCCGAAGUAGUCCGGCGUCGACGUCGACGCGAUCGUAAGUCUUCAGAGAAGGCGCAUGCGCGAAGCGAUAGUACCCGCUCCACUACGGUACCACUUAGUCGCGCCGCGAAAGGGCCCUGCACUUCCACGAGGGAAUCGGAUAAGACUCUUUAAUUCUUUAGAGGAAUGGCCUACGAUACCGAGCCGCUCCCUUGCUAAGGGAACCUCACAAGGUCGCGGCCCCACCGGAGCCUUCUCUCGCCAUUGAUGAGUCACCUAAGACAGAUCGUCAAGUCAUCUCGAUGCUACGUUCCCUCAUGGAGGCCAUCCGAACGAUUUUAUUGGACAUGGGGACACAGUCUGCUCGAAGCGCAAUUAAAGUGCUGGACGCAUUAAGCCCAGUGCUGGAAACCCUCAACUAGAAAAAUGGCUGCCCAUACCCCAUCCAUCGGAAAAGAAGUCAAGGCAGCGUCCGUCAUCCAGUGGAACGCCAGAGGGCUAAAAUCACGAAUUUCAGAUUUCCCUCAGUAUGUGUACACCAAUGUGUUUCUACUCAUCGUCAUUUGUGAGCCCAACUUGUCGAAACCAAUCACUGUCAGGAUACGAAUGUAUCAUGUCAUCAACCAAUAGUGCAUGCAGCAAAAUCGUAGUUCUUUUUCGUCCUGAACUCGCCUAUGUUUUGCAACCAAUUGCGCCCCACGACGACAAUCAAUAUAUAUGCAUUACAGUUAAAAAGAACUUGUUUACUCUCAUAGGCGUGUAUGUAUCGCCUUCGAGCAAUUUCGAUACUAAAAGAUUAGCGAAUAUCUUGAGUGUUUGUCCCACCCCAUGGUUAUCAUAGAUUUCAAUGCACACCAUCCAGCAUGGGGAAGUACAAGGACAAAUGCAAGAGGACGAAGAUUAGCAAGCAUCGCCUACAACUAUGGCCUUACUCUCUUGAACGAUGGUAGCCUCGCCUUUCUUCGAGGCGUGAAAUACGGCAGCUGCCUCGACCUUGCUUUCGUCUCUCUCUCUCGCCAGAUAUGUGAAGUGGUUUCCAGAUAUUGAGACACAUGGAAGUGAUCACAUUCCCACCUAUUUGAAAAUCAAAGGCUUGUCGUCUAGAUCUGGCCCACGGAAUACCAUUCGGACGAUUCAAUGGGCGAACUUCAAAUCUGAUAUGGAAGGUGCCUGCCGCGAGGGCCUACCCUCUGGGUUAGAGCAAACAAUUAAAAGUACGAUGCGAAACGCCACUCGCGUGCUGACGAUCUCUUACACGCGAAACGACUUCGACAUAGAAUUAGAGAGACUUCGAGCACCUCGUCGCCGGGCGGAACGUCGAUAUCGACGCACAAAAUCAAUCCGUGAUCUUAGGGCAGCCAGGAGGAUUCAAAAGAAGAUUCAGCGUCUAAUGGAUACAUCAGCGUCGGAACGUUGGGCGACGUUUUGCCAGACACUCUACCCCCGCAAGCCACUGUCUCACAUUUGGAAAACGGUGCAAGGUCUGCGUUUCCUUCCGGAACAGCGUUUUCCAUUCAAAGCGCUCGCGCUUUUCCAAGGGCGGCAGGACAUCGAUGUCGGAGAUGACUUUUGGGCGCGGAUGGCAGACCAAGCGACACGUCCAGAUCCUCCAGCCCGAGAUGACGUCCCCCAUUCCCGUGAUUGCCGCAUGGACCUUCCUUUUACAAUUAAGGAGCUCGAGGCGGCAUUAGCUCUCUGCAGGCGCUCAUCAUGUACAGGUCCAGAUGGUAUAUCAUACCGAGCCUUGUGCUAUCUCGGAGAAUCCGCAUGGAUAGCAUUGUUGAGGCUCUACAACACCUCAUGAUAGGAGGGAAAUGUUCCUGACGAAUGGAAAGUGAGUUAUCUGGUGCCAAUCUUGAAGCAGGGCAAAUCCCCGCUAGAGCUCGCCUCUUGCCGCCCAGUAGCGUUGGCUAGCUGUGUAGGAAAGAUAAUGGAACGGGUGAUCCUUGACCGCCUGGAAUGGUACCUUGAACACAAGAUUUAUCCGAAUUCCAUGGCUGGUUUCCAACGUGACCGCUCUUCCCGCGACAAUGUAGUUGAUCUCGUUUCAUAUGUCCAGCACGAAAGGUCCCGAAAACGUUUAUCUGCAGCUCUAUUCUUAGAUGUGAAGGGGGCAAACGAUAACAUAUUACAUGAGGCCAUUCUCGACGCUUUUCUGACGGUUAGCCUAGGUGGUCGAGUAUUUUUGUGGAUUGCAAGUUACUUAUCUGCAAGAUAAUUGUGUUAACUGAAUGGCCCAACGGCGCUACCCUAUACCAGCAGGGGCGUUCCUCAAGGCGGUGCUCUCAGCCUGACGCUAUUCAACCUCACUCUUAUUGGGCUUGCCGAAUACUUUCCAACUACCACCAAAAUUUCAAUAUACGCAGACAUCUGUGUCUGGACUUCGGCAGUCGCACGUCCUCAGAUAUGUGUACGGCUUCAAAAAGCGGCUACUUUGACAGCGAGCUACUUGUGUGAACAAGGUUUCAGCAUAUCACCAGAAAAAUGCGCCCUGGUGGCAUUUACUCGCAAACCAAUGACGCCUUAUGUCGUCUUAAUCAAUGGGCGGACCAUUUCCUAUGUCAGAGCCCAGAUUUCUUGGCGUAAUUAUCGACCGAGACCUCUGUUGGAGCCCACACGUGGCCUACAUGAAACGGCGCCUGACAGCAACCUCCCAGUUAACUACUUCACAGGAAAGACGUGGGGGAUAUCAGUUGACACACUGAUGACCCUACAGAGCUCUUUCUCGGUUUUCUGAGAUAUAGUCUACCUGUACUGAACACCUGCAAGACAAUUAUUCGUGUUCUGCAGGCAGCACAAGCUCAAGCACUUAGUCUGCCUUGGUUUGCCCAGAUGCACGUCAACAAAGGCUACUAUUGCGAUUGCUGGGGACCAUCCAAUGCAAACUCGCAUCACGGUGGAAGUCCUGAGAACGCACAUCAGACAUUUUGCACAUGCCCCCCCUCGCCACCUUGCAACACUACCUUCAGACAGGCACCAAUCAUCAUUCUCUAAAACUAUCGUCAAGUACAACGACAAACUUCCCUCGGGCUUCACCGCUGAUCUAAACCAUCGCUUCUCCUUGGUGUCUUGUCAGCCCCACAGUCCAUCUCAGCGUACCAGGAAUCGGGGAAAAGUCUGAGCUGACGUCGCCUGUGCUGAAACAACUCUCUGCUUCUGCCCGAGAGGUACGCGGACAGUUCACAUAUUUAUAUACUGAUGGUUCCACAAACAUCCAGUGUUCGUCCGGUGCUAUGGUUGUCCCCAGCAAGAGCUAUUACCAUCAGCUUUAAGACUGACCACUCAACAUCGACAUCUGCGGAACUAGCUGCUCUUCGCGCUGCACUUUGUUGCGUCAAUCGGGAGCCACCUCGACAAUGGUCAAUCUUCAGCGACUCAAAGGCAGCCCUACAAUCUGUGCUAUCAGCUCUGCGUCGUGGGCCAUUCCAACAGCUCGUAUUCGAUAUUAGAUGCCUACUCCAUACAUCACAGGAGCAAGGACACCACGUGACGCUUCAGUGGCUGCCAAGUCACUGAAAGGAAAGGAAGACGCCGAUAAUGCCGCUCGGGCAGCUUUUGAAGACGCACAGGAAGAGGCCAUACCACUUUCAUGGUCUGACACAGCUAGCAGACUUCGAAUGCUUGCACAGGAGAUCACGCUCUCUCUAUGGUGCACACCAAACAGCCAGACCAACGGGAGCAACCGUCAAUACCACCUGCCCUCUUUGAUGCAUCUCUGUAUGCCAACUGGACUCCGCUGAAGAGAGGCCACUCUGCUUUAUCGCUUAUGGCUAGGGGAAGCCUAAACGAAAUCUUACUCGUUUCGAAUUCGAAUGGCCGGCAACGCUCUCUGUUGUGCCUGUCUUUGCGAGGAGACGCUGGAACACAUUCUGUGCGACUGUCCUGAAUAUAAUGUUCAGAGACAGUCCCUGGCGUCCGUUCUAGCGCACCUUGAGAAUAGACUAUUGUCAGCUGCAACUAUUUUCACGUAUCGGUGACAGACACCGCAGCUGAAGGCGACGAAGGGAUUACUUCGGUUUACGAAGGAGACGGGCUUGUGCAAGCGGCUGUGACAGUGAUGUCACGUACCACGCAAGAGUGACAGAGUAACUAACGAUGUGUGUGCCGUGUUAUGUGCUCCCUAUCUCUUCUCCCCAACUUUCAUCCCCCCAUCCCGCUCCCAUGUCUAGGGUAGCAAACCGGUUAAGCUAAACUGGUUAUUCUCCCUGCCUUCCUUCUCCACUUUUUCCUUCAUUCGUUCCUACCGUCUGCUUUCCAUUGCGGCUAUUCACAAGCAUAUCCAGCGGGCGCUUCUGCACAUCUUCUCCGGCCGUGUUACGCCUGCGUUUUUCUCGCUACUGGCUUUCAGCUUGGAGACGCAGAUUCGUUAAACUCCCUGCACUACUUCUGACAAGUACCAUCUAUACGCUCCACCGGUACUACGGUUGUUUCCUCGUGUGGGCGGAUAAGCCCUGUGGCAUUUAAGGUUCCGAACGUCUGCUUUUGAAUGAAGCCGUGUUUUCCCCUGACGACUAUGGUUAGUGUUCUCUCAGUGCUCCUUUUCUUAAUCCUGUUGCUACACCUUGCCGGUCCCGCAAGUACAAAAAUUUAGUGGGCUUCCGAUGAAAUUUGCGGUAGAAUUUAUUUACUGUACAGACCUUCGAGGUUAGGUUUAUGCUUCGGAAAACUUCGCCGCAGGGUUUCCGAAAGACUUGUGUGUCGCUCUCCCAGUAAGACGACGUUUAAUUACUUCCGUUCCUGGUUAUAUUUCUUUGCUGAUUUCAUUUCCUCAUCAGUAAUUUAUUUCGUCUACUCGGAGUGCCUCAUUUUUCACAAUGCUUUGGUAACUCUACGUAGUCUUCACUUUUGUCGAAGGUUGCCGUCAUAUUGUUAAAUAUCCGCCCCCUUCCCCCUAGUUUUCUCCGCAGAAACUGGGAGAAAAACUGGGUUCGCAGAAUAGGUUCUCCAGAUCCAUCGUGAACUUUUGUGAACGAUUGUUUCCCAAUGAUACAACAUACUUCGUAUACUCGGGUGUAUAUUUCUCCGUUAUUUAGUACACAUCCACCGAUCGCUUUCCGCGGUAGACUUGAAAACUACGAAUGAGCCUUUCACAGAAAUCUCCCCCACACAAUGUUUUGGGGAGGAAAUUUCCACUUGGUGAUAGGUCAUAAAUUGUUCACUUGUUCAUUGACGUAAUGUUCCUGUGACCGCAUUCAAUCCCUUAUUCGUUCUCUUGAAAGUCUUGCAUUGUUGCUCUGCACGUUUAUGUUCGAGCUGAGAAACGCCGAAAAUAGUGUAGAAAACCGAUGUGAAGCGCCUCCAAAAGUUCCGCAGUGUACACCUCUUGCCACGGCACUUGUGAAAGUUGAUACAGAAACUUUGGCUAUGUCUCCUUGGUUUUUGUAGUUGCUCCCAGCGCACCGUUGAAACGUAGACCAGCCAUUUCAGACAAUUUGGUCUUCGUUACUCUAUCCUAUAUAGGAGGUACUUCUUACAAGGAUCUGAAAUUGUAUCUUCGCCACACAACGCACUGUCGCAUUACUUUCUUAUUUUCGUCCUCCGAUUACCCGAAAUCUCGUUAUUAUACGCGCCAGUGUACCGCGUUCUCCACCGUGAAGUUUGUCCACAUAGGUGUCGCACUAAUACUCCAGAUUUCUUCCAUUUACGUGUGAUCGGGUGCUGCUCUUAUGAUACGAGCCCUACCGAAAGCGUCUUUGGAGUCUCAUUCGGUCUUUAUCGUAAUAUAUCUGGUAUUCAACUACUGUCUGCACAUUCGCUUGCUUGCUGAAUUUCUGCGCUUUUUCAAUAUGCACGCUUUGUUCUAGCCAAAUAAGGCAGGCGUCGGCGGUAUUUAUUUCUUUUGCUUUUAGUGGACCGUAGAACUUGUCCUCAAAUAUUAAUCACGGAACGAAACAUUCACGUUGUUGCUCUCCAAAUAUUCAAGUAACUGCCGAACUUGUCAACUUCAAUGUCUCUUCUUGAGAUCAUUUUCGACGUAUAUCUGACACGAGAAUCAUCUCCUUUCAUUAUUAUACGGUAUUUUGUAACGGUUAUUUGGCCUGUAGCAACUUGGGUCCCUUCCACGAAAUUGUUCACUACGACAUCUUUUCUACGGUCACUCCUGGUUAUAUCUGCUCAACUUUUCACUGCUAUUGACGUAUCCCCAUUGUUCUCCUACUGAGUAAUUUUUUUUUUCUUGUAGUAUGUGUUCAACGGGUGCUUCAUGCAUUUUCAUUCUCCAAUGCAGCGCAAUUGUACAAGUGGUCGUAUACUUUACUGUUACCUCCAAGUUCUAAUUUGCGAGACUGACGACGGUGUUCAUUAGAGCUACGGUGUCCAUUGCCAGGACCAGCACUGUCUCCGCUUUGAUAUAACAGUACCAUGAAUGCUGCACUUGAAUACCCCGCCGGGCUUGCAUCUGAGAAGUGUCAAUGCUUACGUUCAGUUUCUUAUUGUCGAUACGCGCUUGAGGCAUUUAGUCCUUUAUCUUCCUCGGUAUAUUUCUCCAUAGAUCAUUUAUCUUUGUCUGGGAGAGGGUUGUCCCAAGAUUCCGGUUUCUUUCCCGUCAUUGAAUACCGAUAUUAGCUGUUACAGUGCAGGACGUUAGAAAUUCCCGCCGACCAAAUAUUUUUACCCUGGCUGCAUUCCACUUCGAUUCCUGAGCACUUAACUGGCGUCUUCAUAUCGAUAUAGCAGAAUACCGUCGGCCGUGUCACAGUUCAUUUCUAGAAUACGGAUUUGGCUUGAUGAAGUAAGAACGGCAUCUUGAAGUGCUUUUAAAUUCUCAUAACUGUUUGAUGUCCCUUUCCAAAGAUUCAUUGCUUGGAAAGAUUUUGCUUCCAUGUACACGACUUUAGCCUGGUUCUAAGAUUUCCAAGCGUAACUUCAUCAACGCAAACUUAUUUACGUUUGCUGGUAUUACAAGAAUUUCUUCGAAAAUUCAUUACCACUGUUGGUACAUCUGCAUUCAAAUUAUCUCCUGUCUGAAGAUAAUCAUUCGGAACAUUCCUGAUCUUAACCACGAAGCGUCAAAUGCUACCCUUAUUUUCUUGCUAGUUGGUCUUUUCGAAUUGCUUGAUGGCGCGAUAUGGUAGUUAUUGUUCAGAUUCUUCCGAGCAUGCUCGUUCUUCCAUUCCAAGCGUCAAAGAUCUCGCAUUGAACAGUCAUAGUCAUCUCGGUACUGAAUUUCCCUGGUGUCUUCGAGAUCGUCUUCUGAUUGCUGCUUCGUUGAGUUCCACGUUAACUUGCUCUCUCCAUCCUUCUGAACAGUCACUGUGACUACAUAGUCCACUUCAUGCAUCGUUUCUUUCCGAGGAGCUAAUCCAGUAUAUUCCGCCAUCAAAAAGUUCAAAAUGGAAGUCGUCAGUUUCUGCGGCGUCAAGAACCAUGGCAAGUUUCGCGUUUCGCAGUUCUCUACACCACAUGGGUCAGGCAGAAUCCAGUCGGGAGUUUUCUAUUUUCCAUUGUAUCUUCGUUUCCUCUUUCCACUGGACUUGUCUCCUAACCUGGCACUACUACUUGUUCUGCAUUCCUGUUAUCAACUGCGGUCCUCAACCGUACCCAGCGUGCCCCUGCACUACUCUAUGGUCUGCGCUCCCAAAAAUUACUUCGGCCUGGAGCAUCACCUGUUCCAGAAGCGACUGCUGUUGCUUCUACAUUCCCUCGCGAGUGGCGCCCUGCUGGUAGAGUGGACUUGUCUCCUCGCCCUGCACUACUCCUGGUUCUGCAUUCCUGUUAUCAACUGCGGUCCUCAACCGUACCCAGCGUGCCCCUGCACUACUCUAUGGUCUGCGCUCCCAAAAAUUACUUCGGCCUGGAGCAUCACCUAUUCCAGGAGCGACUGCUGUUGCUUCUACAUUCCCUCGCGAGUGGCGCCCUGCUGGUAGAGUGGACUUGUCUCCUCGCCCUGCACUACUCCUGGUUCUGCAUUCCUGUUAUCAACUGCGGUCCUCAACCGUACCCAGCGUGCCCCUGCACUACUCUAUGGUCUGCGCUCCCAAAAAUUACUUCGGCCUGGAGCAUCACCUGUUCCAGAAGCGACUGCUGUUGCUUCUACAUUCCCUCGCGAGUGGCGCGCUGCUGGUAGAGUGGACUUGUCUCCUCGCCCUGCACUACUCCUGGUUCUGCAUUCCUGUUUUCAACUGCGGUCCUCAACCGUACCCAGCGUGCCCCUGCACUACUCUAUGGUCUGCGCUCCCAAAAAUUACUUCGGCCUGGAGCAUCACCUGUUCCAGAAGCGACUGCUGUUGCUUCUACAUUCCCUCGCGAGUGGCGCCCUGCUGGUAGACUGGACUUGUCUCCUCGCCCUGCACUACUCCUGCUUCUGCAAUCCUGUUUUCAACUGCGGCCCUCAAGCGUACCCAGCGUGCCCCUGCACUACUCUACAAUCUGGGCUCCAAAAGAUUACUUCGGGCUAGAGCAUCACCUGUUCCAGGAGCGACUGCUACUGGUUCUAGAUUCCCUCAUUAGUGGCGGCCGUGCUGGAAGACUGGUUGUUUCCUCGUCUUGCACUACUGGUUCUGCACUCAUGUAUUCAACUGCUGUCCACAAGCGCGCCCAGCGUGCUCUUGCACGACUCUACGGCCUGCGCUUCAAAGGAUUACUUCGGCCACGAGCAUCACCUGUUCCAAGAGCGACUACUACGGCUUCUACAUUUUCGCCAGUGGCGUCCUGCUGGCAGACUGGACUUGUCUCAUCGCCCUGCACUACUACCGGUUCUGCACUCCUGUUUUCGACUCCGGUGGGUGCCUAGCACGCUCCUGCACAUCGACUCUCAGUUCUGCGCUCCAAAAGAGAUAACUUCGGGCACCAGGAUCACCCAUUCCAUGAGCGACUGCUAUUGCUUCUACGUUCUCUCACCGACGGCGUCCUGCUGGCAGACUGGACUUAGCCUGGCGCCCUUGCACCUAAUUGUGGUUCCCAGUUUCUGCUGUCGCUUUUGGCGCACGAGAAAUAUUCCAGCACGCUCAUUUACAAGAACAUUCCUGGCCUUGCCUCACGAGCAACCAUCUUCAGCCCGAUCGUCCUGCCGCGUCCUCUAUACUACAAGCUUCCUAAUGAACUCGUGAACGCGUCGCACGCCUCUGUCUUGGCGGUGUCCUGCACUGUGUUGACGGCGUGUUCAUUCUCUGAAGGACUUCGUGUCGUCACCAUCCCGCGACCCUCCAUCGGAUGUGCUCCUACAGUUCGCUGUUGCCUUUUUCCGCAAGCAUAUUUAAUAAGGUCAUUGUAGCAAGCUUUUCUGCUUUGGAAGAGUGGUACGUUGCUCGGCGAAUGGAUGCCAAUUCUAGGAAUCGGGUUAAUACGAAGCAGAACAUAAAGGUCUGGUUACGUGGACACCACUUGGUCCUUAAUAAGGACUGUCAAUGUUUUCAUGAGCCGAUCUGUAAAUUUUUGGUGGCGAGAGUAAUGGACAUUCAUUGACAUUGUGCACUUUUAUAGUAGCACGCUGUGUGUGCGUGCGCGUGCGCGUGUGUGUGCGCGUGUGUGUGCGCGUGUGUGUGCGCGUGUGUGCGCGUGUGUGCGCGUGUGUGUGCGCGUGUGUGUGCGCGUGUGUGUGCGCGUGUGUGUGCGCGUGUG
Non-coding RNA from Dermacentor albipictus, 12714 nucleotides. The record is from RefSeq and is a predicted model, not a curated record. NCBI's taxonomy places the organism in Eukaryota, Metazoa, Arthropoda, Arachnida, Ixodida, Ixodidae.